Molecule: ribosomal RNA, 253 nt
Filed under: uncultured bacterium
Lineage: Bacteria
Description: partial 16S ribosomal RNA
Rfam family: Bacterial small subunit ribosomal RNA
Source: RNAcentral
UACAGAGGGGGCGAGCGUUAUUCGGAAUCAUUGGGCGUAAAGGGCGCGUAGGCGGCUCUGCAAGUGACGGGUGAAAUCCCUCGGCUUAACCGAGGAACUGCCUGUCAGACUGCAUGGCUUGAGACCGGGAGAGGUGAGUGGAAUUCCCAGUGUAGCGGUGAAAUGCGUAGAUAUUGGGAGGAACACCAGUGGCGAAGGCGGCUCACUGGACCGGUACUGACGCUGAGGCGCGAAAGCGUGGGGAGCAAAAGGG